UACGUAGGGGGCAAGCGUUGUCCGGAUUUAUUGGGCGUAAAGAGCGUGUAGGCGGUUUGGUAGGUCCGCUGUGAAAACUCGAGGCUCAACCUCGAGACGCCGGUGGAAACCAUCAGACUAGAGUCCGGAAGAGGAGAGUGGAAUUCCUGGUGUAGCGGUGAAAUGCGCAGAUAUCAGGAGGAACACCGGUGGCGAAGGCGGGUCGUCUGGG
RNAcentral lists this ribosomal RNA (211 nucleotides) under uncultured bacterium. Its description in RNAcentral is "partial 16S ribosomal RNA". It matches the Rfam family "Bacterial small subunit ribosomal RNA", at positions 524 to 733 of the family's 1533-position model. The record is from RNAcentral.